Molecule: ribosomal RNA, 477 nt
Filed under: Candidatus Scalindua brodae
Lineage: Bacteria; Pseudomonadati; Planctomycetota; Candidatus Brocadiia; Candidatus Brocadiales; Candidatus Scalinduaceae
Also listed under: 1 other name
Description: bacterial SSU rRNA
Rfam family: Bacterial small subunit ribosomal RNA
Source: RNAcentral
UUCGCAAUGCCCGAAAGGGUGACGAAGCGACGCCGCGUGGGUGAGGAAGGCCUUCGGGUUGUAAAGCCCUGUCAGGAGUUAAGAAAUGUAAGUGCGCUAAUAUCGUAUUUAUUUGACGAAGGCUCCAAAGGAAGCCACGGCUAACUCUGUGCCAGCAGCCGCGGUAAUACAGAGGUGGCAAGCGUUGUUCGGAAUUAUUGGGCGUAAAGAGCGCGUAGGUGGGUUUGUAAGUCAGAUGUGAAAGCCUUCUGUUCAACGGAAGAAUUGCAUCUGAAACUGCAAGUCUUGAGUGUAGGAGGGGAGAAUGGAACUUCUGGUGGAGCGGUGAAAUGCGUAGAUAUCAGAAGGAACGCCGGCGGCGAAAGCGAUUCUCUGGCCUAUUACUGACACUCAGUGUGCGAAAGCUAGGGGAGCAAACGGGAUUAGAUACCCCGGUAGUCCUGGCCGUAAACGAUGGGCACUAAGUAGAGGGGUUUU